Molecule: non-coding RNA, 23 nt
Filed under: Arabidopsis thaliana (thale cress)
Lineage: Eukaryota; Viridiplantae; Streptophyta; Magnoliopsida; Brassicales; Brassicaceae
Source: RNAcentral
UCCGGAGCGCUCUGAUUGGCUGA